Molecule: ribosomal RNA, 377 nt
Filed under: uncultured bacterium
Lineage: Bacteria
Description: bacterial SSU rRNA
Rfam family: Bacterial small subunit ribosomal RNA
Source: RNAcentral
UAAUACGUAGGGGGCAAGCGUUGUCCGGAAUCAUUGGGCGUAAAGAGCGUGUAGGCGGUCCGGUAAGUCGGCUGUGAAAGUCCAGGGCUCAACCCUGGGAUGCCGGUCGAUACUGCCGGACUAGAGUUCGGAAGAGGCGAGUGGAAUUCCCGGUGUAGCGGUGAAAUGCGCAGAUAUCGGGAGGAACACCUAUGGCGAAGGCAGCUCGCUGGGACGUUACUGACGCUGAGACGCGAAAGCGUGGGGAGCAAACAGGAUUAGAUACCCUGGUAGUCCACGCUGUAAACGAUGGGCACUAGGUGUGGGGGGUGUCGACUCCCUCCGUGCCGAAGCUAACGCAUUAAGUGCCCCGCCUGGGGAGUACGGCCGCAAGGCUA